UAGGGAAUCUUCCACAAUGGACGAAAGUCUGAUGGAGCAACGCCGCGUGAGUGAUGAAGGGUUUCGGCUCGUAAAACUCUGUUGUUGGAGAAGAACGGGUGUCAGAGUAACUGUUGACAUCGUGACGGUAUCCAACCAGAAAGCCACGGCUAACUACGUGCCAGCAGCCGCGGUAAUACGUAGGUGGCAAGCGUUGUCCGGAUUUAUUGGGCGUAAAGCGAGCGCAGGCGGUUUUUUAGGUCUGAUGUGAAAGCCUUCGGCUUAACCGGAGAAGUGCAUCGGAAACCGGGAGACUUGAGUGCAGAAGAGGACAGUGGAACUCCAUGUGUAGCGGUGAAAUGCGUAGAUAUAUGGAAGAACACCAGUGGCGAAGGCGGCUGUCUGGUCUGCAACUGACGCUGAGGCUCGAAAGCAUGGGUAGCGAACAGGAUUAGAUACCCUGGUAGUCCAUGCCGUAAACGAUGAGUGCUAAGUGUUGGAGGGUUUCCGCCCUUCAGUGCUGCAGCUAACGCAUUAA
This 517-nucleotide ribosomal RNA is filed under the name uncultured bacterium. RNAcentral's name for it is "partial 16S ribosomal RNA". It matches the Rfam family "Bacterial small subunit ribosomal RNA", at positions 355 to 863 of the family's 1533-position model. The record is from RNAcentral.